AUUAGAGCUGAGAGUGUCUAUUAAGUUACGAUAUGAGAAUGAAACGAAUACUUGUUGAUUUCAAAAUACUUCGAACAAAUUUAAGAAAGCUCCUUUUACCUAAGACAAUAAUCUGCGUAUUGAACUAAAGGUCCUGUUGACCUCAAUUUAGUUUCAAAUUAUGAAUUUGGUCCCGUUGGCCACAAAGAGUAUAAGAAGUUUGAAUUAGAGUUGAGAGUGUGUAUUUUAGCUACGAUAUGAGAAUGUCAAUAAUCUGCGUAUUGAAAUUAAGAUCCCGUUGGCCUGAGAUUAUUCUGAAAUUAUGAAUUUGGUCCCGUUGGCCACAAAAAAUAUAAGAUAAUUGAAAGUUGAGUGUGUAUUUUAGCUACGAUAUGAGAAUGACAAUAAUCUGCGUAUUGAAAUUAAGGUCCCGUUGGCCUGAGUUUAUUCUGAAAUUAUGAAUUUGGUCCCGUUGGCCACACAAAAAUUAAGAUGAUUGAAUUAGAGUUGAGAGUGUCUAUUAAGUUACGAUAUGAGAAUGAAACGAAUACUUGUUGAUUUCAAAAUACUUCGAACAAAUUUAAGAAAGCUCCUUUUACCUAAGACAAUAAUCUGCGUAUUGAACUAAAGGUCCUGUUGACCUCAAUUUAGUUUCAAAUUAUGAGUUUGGUCCCGUUGGCCACAAAAAAUAUAAGAUAAUUGAAAGUUGAGUGUGUAUUUUAGCUACGAUAUGAGAAUGACAAUAAUCUGCGUAUUGAAAUUAAGGUCCCGUUGGCCUGAGUUUAUUCUGAAAUUAUGAAUUUGGUCCCGUUGGCCACACAAAAAUUAAGAUGAUUGAAUUAGAGUUGAGAGUGUCUAUUAAGUUACGAUAUGAGAAUAAAACGAAUACUUGUUGAUUUCAAAAUACUUCGAACAAAUUUAAGAAAGCUCCUUUUACCUAAGACAAUAAUCUGCGUAUUGAACUAAAGGUCCUGUUGACCUCAAUUUAGUUUCAAAUUAUGAAUUUGGUCCCGUUGGCCACAAAGAGUAUAAGAAGUUUGAAUUAGAGUUGAGAGUGUGUAUUUUAGCUACGAUAUGAGAAUGUCAAUAAUCUCCGUAUUGAAAUUAAGGUCCCGUUGGCCUGAGAUUAUUCUGAAAUUAUGAAUUUGGUCCCGUUGGCCACACAAAAAUUAAGAUGAUUGAAUUAGAGUUGAGAGUGUCUAUUAAGUUACGAUAUGAGAAUGAAACGAAUACUUGUUGAUUUCAAAAUACUUCGAACAAAUUUAAGAAAGCUCCUUUUACCUAAGACAAUAAUCUGCGUAUUGAACUAAAGGUCCUGUUGACCUCAAUUUAGUUUCAAAUUAUGAAUUUGGUCCCGUUGGCCACAAAGAGUAUAAGAUGAUUGAAUUAGAGUUGAGAGUGUGUAUUUUAGCUACGAUAUGAGAAUGACAAUAAUCUGCGUAUUGAAAUUAAGGUCCCGUUGGCCUGAGUUUAUUCUGAAAUUAUGAAUUUGGUCCCGUUGGCCACAAAGAGUAUAAGAAGAUUGAAUUAGAGUUAAGAGUGUGUAUUAAGUUACGAUAUGAGAAUGUCAAUAAUCUGCGUAUUGAAAUUAAGGUCCCGUUGGCCUGAGUUUAUUCUGAAAUUAUGAAUUUGGUCCCGUUGGCCACACAAAAAUUAAGAUGAUUGAAUUAGAGUUGAGAGUAUCUAUUAAGUUACGAUAUGAGAAUGAAACGAAUACUUGUUGAUUUCAAAAUACUUCGAACAAAUUUGAGAAAGCUCCUUUUACCUAAGACAAUAAUCUGCGUAUUGAACUAAAGGUCCUGUUGACCUCAAUUUAGUUUCAAAUUAUGAAUUUGGUCCCGUUGGCCACAAAGAGUAUAAGAAGUUUGAAUUAGAGUUGAGAGUGUGUAUUUUACCUACGAUAUGAGAAUGUCAAUAAUCUGCGUAUUGAAAUUAAGGUCCCGUUGGCCUGAGAUUAUUCUGAAAUUAUGAAUUUGGUCCCGUUGGCCACACAAAAAUUAAGAUGAUUGAAUUAGAGUUGAGAGUGUCUAUUAAGUUACGAUAUGAGAAUGAAACGAAUACUUGUUGAUUUCAAAAUACUUCGAACAAAUUUAAGAAAGCUCCUUUUACCUAAGACAAUAAUCUGCGUAUUGAACUAAAGGUCCUGUUGACCUCAAUUUAGUUUCAAAUUAUGAAUUUGGUCCCGUUGGCCACAAAAAAUAUAAGAUAAUUGAAAGUUGAGUGUGUAUUUUAGCUACGAUAUGAGAAAGACAAUAAUCUGCGUAUUGAUAUUAAGGUCCUGUUGACCUCAAUUUAGUUUUAAAUUAUGAAUUUGGUCCCGUUGGCCACAAAGAGUAUAAGAAGAUUGAAUUAGAGUUGAGAGUGUGUAUUUUAGCUACGAUAUGAGAAUGUCAAUAAUCUGCGUAUUGAAAUUAAGGUCCCGUUGGCCUGGGAUUAUUCUGAAAUUAUGAAUUUGGUCCCGUUGGCCACACAAAAAUUAAGAUGAUUGAAUUAGAGUUGAGAGUGUCUAUUAAGUUACGAUAUGAGAAUGAAACGAAUACUUGUUGAUUUCAAAAUACUUCGCACAAAUUUAAGAAAGCUACUUUUACCUAAGACAAUAAUCUGCGUAUUGAACUAAAGGUCCUGUUGACCUCAAUUUAGUUUCAAAUUAUGAAUUUGGCCCGUUGGCCACAAAAAAUAUAAGAUAAUUGAAAGUUGAGUGUGUAUUUUAGCUACGAUAUGAGAAUGAUAAUAGUCUGCGUAUUGAAAUUAAGGUCCCGUUGGCCUGAGCUUAUUCUGAAAUUAUGAAUUUGGUCCCGUUGGCCACACAAAAAUUAAGAUGAUUGAAUUAGAGUUGAGAGUGUCUAUUAAGCUACGAUAUGAGAAUGAAACGAAUACUUGUUGAUUUCAAAAUACUUCGAACAAAUUUAAGAAAGCUCCUUUUACCUAAGACAAUAAUCUGCGUAUUGAACUUAAGGUCCUGUUGACCUCAAUUUAGUUUCAAAUUAUGAAUUUGGUCCCGUUGGCCACAAAGAGUAUAAGAAGUUUGAAUUAGAGUUGAGAGUGUGUAUUUUACCUACGAUAUGAGAAUGUCAAUAAUCUGCGUAUUGAAAUUAAGGUCCCGUUGGCCUGAGAUUAUUCUGAAAUUAUGAAUUUGGUCCCGUUGGCCACACAAAAAUUAAGAUGAUUGAAUUAGAGUUGAGAGUGUCUAUUAAGUUACGAUAUGAGAAUGAAACGAAUACUUGUUGAUUUCAAAAUACUUCGAACAAAUUUAAGAAAGCUCCUUUUACCUAAGACAAUAAUCUGCGUAUUGAACUAAAGGUCCUGUUGACCUCAAUUUAGUUUCAAAUUAUGAAUUUGGUCCCGUUGGCCACAAAAAAUAUAAGAUAAUUGAAAGUUGAGUGUGUAUUUUAGCUACGAUAUGAGAAUGAUAAUAGUCUGCGUAUUGAAAUUAAGGUCCCGUUGGCCUGAGUUUAUUCUGAAAUUAUGAAUUUGGUCCCGUUGGCCACACAAAAAUUAAGAUGAUUGAAUUAGAGUUGAGAGUGUCUAUUAAGUUACGAUAUGAGAAUGAAACGAAUACUUGUUGAUUUCAAAAUACUUCGAACAAAUUUAAGAAAGCUCCUUUUACCUAAGACAAUAAUCUGCGUAUUGAACUAAAGGUCCUGUUGACCUCAAUUUAGUUUCAAAUUAUGAAUUUGGUCCCGUUGGCCACAAAGAGUAUAAGAAGUUUGAAUUAGAGUUGAGAGUGUGUAUUUUAGCUACGAUAUGAGAAUGUCAAUAAUCUGCGUAUUGAAAUUAAGGUCCCGUUGGCCUGAGAUUAUUCUGAAAUUAUGAAUUUGGUCCCGUUGGCUACACAAAAAUUAAGAUGAUUGAAUUAGAGUUGAGAGUGUCUAUUAAGUUACGAUAUGAGAAUGAAACGAAUACUUGUUGAUUUCAAAAUACUUCGAACAAAUUUAAGAAAGCUCCUUUUACCUAAGACAAUAAUCUGCGUAUUGAACUAAAGGUCCUGUUGACCUCAAUUUAGUUUCAAAUUAUGAAUUUGGUCCCGUUGGCCACAAAGAGUAUAAGAAGUUUGAAUUAGAGUUGAGAGUGUGUAUUUUAGCUACGAUAUGAGAAUGUCAAUAAUCUGCGUAUUGAAAUUAAGGUCCCGUUGGCCUGAGAUUAUUCUGAAAUUAUGAAUUUGGUCCCGUUGGCCACACAAAAAUUAAGAUGAUUGAAUUAGAGUUGAGAGUGUCUAUUAAGUUACGAUAUGAGAAUGAAACGAAUACUUGUUGAUUUCAAAAUACUUCAAACAAAUUUAAGAAAGCUCCUUUUACCUAAGACAAUAAUCUGCAUAUUGAACUUAAGGUCCUGUUGACCUCAAUUUAGUUUCAAAUUAUGAAUUUGGUCCCGUUGGCCACAAAAAAUAUAAGAUAAUUGAAAGUUGAGUGUGUAUUUUAGCUACGAUAUGAGAAUGACAAUAAUCUGCGUAUUGAAAUUAAGGUCCCGUUGGCCUGAGAUUAUUCUGAAAUUAUGAAUUUGGU
Molecule: long non-coding RNA, 4481 nt
Organism: Episyrphus balteatus (marmalade hoverfly)
Lineage: Eukaryota; Metazoa; Arthropoda; Insecta; Diptera; Syrphidae
Exons: 3
Source: RefSeq, a predicted model, not a curated record